GCGGUGUGCUAGGUAGCUGACCAUUAAAGGAGGAAGUCCGCCCACCCAUUCGUUAAGCCAGGGCAACCUGGUGGCCUAACGGCCAGGCUACGGAACAGAAACGAAGCAACUUAUAUACGCAAAUAGAUGAUCGUAAGGUGAUAGUAUAUAAGUUGCAUGAAACGUGCCGACCCUUAGGGUGCAAGCUCUUUUAGAGCGCUUAGUGGAAUGCUACCGUGCCUAAAUAGGCAACAGAAGGCGGGCUAUUGCACGCCGC
Molecule: RNase P RNA, 256 nt
Filed under: Candidatus Rehaiarchaeum fermentans
Lineage: Archaea; Nanobdellati; Candidatus Parvarchaeota
Description: RNase P RNA component
Rfam family: Archaeal RNase P
About the family: Ribonuclease P (RNase P) is a ubiquitous endoribonuclease, found in archaea, bacteria and eukarya as well as chloroplasts and mitochondria.
Source: RNAcentral